UCGGAUGUGGUGUAAGGUGCACACCCGCUCUCGCUGUCAAGGAAUCGGUUAAGUCCUUGAAGCGGGCUGCCUGGGUUCGAUUCCAGGCUUCCGAG
This is a non-coding RNA of Mycena leptocephala, 95 nucleotides long. The record is from the annotation of a GenBank genome assembly. NCBI's taxonomy places the organism in Eukaryota, Fungi, Basidiomycota, Agaricomycetes, Agaricales, Mycenaceae.